AUUUUAUAGUAAUCGAUUCUGAUUUAUAUAUAUUUAUCGGUCAAUCUCCAAUAUUUUUAUAUUUUCCAUUCGGUUAGGCUUUUGUUAGAUUACCUAGUAGAAAAAAAAAAACCAUAAUUUAGCAAUUGAACGUCCGUAAUUCUUCGGGUGUAGUUGAUUUUAUUAAUUUUGUGAACUGUAAAGCUUUUAUUUAGUCUCUGUUUCUUGCUUGUCAAUACACACUUGUUUAAUGAUACGGACUAUAAGUAUUCGAUUCGUAUGUAUUGCGUCAAAAUAAACAAGUGGAGUAGCAGUGUUGAAAUUUUUUUAAUUAUUUUUUUGAGAAUAGCAGUGUUUAAAGGUUUUUAAAUCAUAGCAAUCUCGAAUUUGAUAUUUCUACCGUCGUUACCACCCCAAUCUCCAAUGGAAAAAAAAAGAAUUCAGCCUUUAGGAGAGAAAAGGACAAGACUAGUUAAAAUUCCUUCUGGGUUUGGGUUUAUCAAAUAAUCUCGAGAAAAGUUUGAUGGGCUGGCUUAAGAGAGCAAUAGCACACAAGGCCCAUGAUACAUAUUUCGUAGAAGUGAAGUGGAUCUGCUGGUUUCUACUGAUUGCACUGUUUGCAUUCAAUGAAGACGAAGUCGGAGACCUGCAGGCGUGCCCCUUUACAGAUUUGUACAUCAUAAAUAUGGAGGAUGACAAGUCACUUAGCUCCUUUGAUAUAUAACUUGGGAGGCCAUUCCUUGGCACUGCUAGUACUAAAAUAGAUGUUCGCAAUGACACUCUCCAUGGAGUUCGACAUUGAAAUUGUGAAAUUUAACUUUGAAGCAAAGAACCAUCGUAUUAGAGUGUUAAAUAUUUGCAAUGUUGACAUUAUUAAUUCUAUACCUCACUCAAGAAAUUUCUGACUUAUUUUGCAGUGACGAGUUGGAAACAGUACUUUGCAAAAGAAUUGAUAGAGUUAUUGUAAUACCUUUCGCCUGAACUUUUGAGUUAUGAGAUGUUAUAGUUGUUGCUGAAAUAACUAUCGUCGAAUAUACUGUAAUUAAAUCAUUUAAGCAAACAUUAAGUUUUAAACACA
Molecule: long non-coding RNA, 1057 nt
Organism: Gossypium arboreum
Lineage: Eukaryota; Viridiplantae; Streptophyta; Magnoliopsida; Malvales; Malvaceae
Exons: 2
Source: RefSeq, a predicted model, not a curated record